GACGAACGCUGGCGGCGUGCCUAAUACAUGCAAGUUGAGCGCUGAAGGUUGGUACUUGUACCAACUGGAUGAGCAGCGAACGGGUGAGUAACGCGUGGGGAAUCUGCCUUUGAGCGGGGGACAACAUUUGGAUACGAAUGCUAAUACCGCAUAAAAACUUUAAACACAAGUUUUAAGUUUGAAAGAUGCAAUUGCAUCACUCAAAGAUGAUCCCGCGUUGUAUUAGCUAGUUGGUGAGGUAAAGGCUCACCAAGGCGAUGAUACAUAGCCGACCUGAGAGGGUGAUCGGCCACAUUGGGACUGAGACACGGCCCAAACUCCUACGGGAGGCAGCAGUAGGGAAUCUUCGGCAAAGGACGAAAGUCUGACCGAGCAACGCCGCGUGAGUGAAGAAGGUUUUCGGAUCGUAAAACUCUGUUGGUAGAGAAGAACGUUGGUGAGAGUGGAAAGCUCAUCAAGUGACGGUAACUACCCAGAAAGGGACGGCUAACUACGU
Molecule: ribosomal RNA, 496 nt
Filed under: uncultured bacterium
Lineage: Bacteria
Description: partial 16S ribosomal RNA
Rfam family: Bacterial small subunit ribosomal RNA
Source: RNAcentral